This 490-nucleotide ribosomal RNA is filed under the name uncultured bacterium. RNAcentral's name for it is "partial 16S ribosomal RNA". It matches the Rfam family "Bacterial small subunit ribosomal RNA", at positions 28 to 507 of the family's 1533-position model. The record is from RNAcentral.
GAUGAACGCUGGCGGCAUGCCUUACACAUGCAAGUCGAGCGACAGCAUGACCUGCCUUGCUCUGUGAAGUUCGCGUGGCGCGCGUGUGUGACAUGUAGCUGAACUUGCCAUUUGGCUGGGGUUACUGUAGGAAACGGUAGCCAAUAACCGCAUAUUCUCUGAAGCGCAAGGCACAGUACCUUCAGGCCGUGCGCCAGAAGAGUGUCCGUUGUCGGAUUAGCUAGUUGGUAAGGUAAAGGCUAACCAAGGCAACGAUCCGUAGCGGGUCUGAGAGGAUGAUCCGCCACACUGGGACUGAGACACGGUCCAGACUCCUACGGGAGGCAGCAGUAGGGAAUUUUCGGCAAUGGGCGAAAGCCUGAUGCAGCAACGCCGCGUGAGUGAAGAAGGUCUUCGGGUUGUAAAGCUCUGUUAGUAGGGAAGAAAAAGUAUGUAAUAAACCAGGCUCUGCAUGACGGUACCUGAACAGAAAGCAACGGCUAACUACGUG